GACGAACGCUGGCGGCGUGCUUAACACAUGCAAGUCGAACGGAAAGGCCCUGCUUGCAGGGUGCUCGAGUGGCGAACGGGUGAGUAACACGUGGGUGAUCUGCCCCUUACUUUGGGAUAAGCCUGGGAAACUGGGUCUAAUACUGGAUAGGACCAUGCUGUAGGUGGUGUGGUGGUAAGAUUAGUUUCGGUAAGGGAUGAGCUCGCGGCCUAUCAGCUUGUUGGUGGGGUAAUGGCCUACCAAGGCGUCGACGGGUAGCCGGCCUGAGAGGGUGGACGGCCACAUUGAGACUGAGAUACGGACCAGCAUCCUACAGGAGUCAGCAGAGGGGAAUAGUGCGCAAUGGGCGCAAGCCUGAUGCAGCGAAGGCGCGUGGGGGAUGACGGCCUUCGGGUUGUAAACACCUUUCAGCCAUGACGAAGCCCUUGUGGUGACGGUAGUGGUAGAAGAAGCACCGGCUAACUACGUG
This 469-nucleotide ribosomal RNA is filed under the name uncultured bacterium. RNAcentral describes it as "partial 16S ribosomal RNA". It matches the Rfam family "Bacterial small subunit ribosomal RNA", at positions 28 to 507 of the family's 1533-position model. The record is from RNAcentral.